RNAcentral lists this long non-coding RNA (393 nucleotides) under Carica papaya (papaya). RNAcentral describes it as "long non-coding RNA (CPAP_LNC011872)". Lineage: Eukaryota; Viridiplantae; Streptophyta; Magnoliopsida; Brassicales; Caricaceae. The record is from RNAcentral.
UCGGAAACCGGGGGUCAAAACGCAAUUUAGAAAAAUUGUGCCUCGUCAGCACCACGUCAGCAGCCACGUCAGCGGCCCAGUCAGCAGCCCUGGCCAACCAGAACCUACCGAGUGGCAAGACCACGUCGACCCGGGAACGGGCCACGUGGGCGAUCUGCGUGCGCGCGAUCGGACGGCCCAGAUGCGUCCCCGCGCGCACGGACGACCCAGAUCAAGCGUGCGCACGGACGGCCCAGAUGCACGUGCACGGACGGCCCAGAUUCAAUCAAGUACGAACGGCCCAGAUUUAAUCAAAAUGGACGGCUGUGAUUAAAAGGCAAAAAGGUAUAAAUAAAACCCCCACACCUGACCACAAAAACCCUAGCCGCCUGCCCUCGCUGGAGAAGACGAACC